CCUACGGGGUGCAGCAGUGGGGAAUCUUGGGCAAUGGGCGCAAGCCUGACCCAGCAACGCCGCGUGAGGGAAGAAGGCUUUCGGGUCGUAAAAUUCUUUUCUCAGGGACGAACAAAGUGACGGUACCUGAGGCCUACGCCACGGCUAACUACGUGCAAGCAGCCGCGGUACUACGUAGGAGGAACGCGUUAAACGGAUUUAUUGGGUGUAAUGGGCGUGUAGGCGGGUGCGCAAGUCAGAUGUGACAGCUCCGGGCUCAACCCUGGGGCGGCAUUUGAAACUGUGUUUCUUGAGUGCUGAAGAGGCGAGUGGAAUUCCGUGUGGAGCGGUGAAAUGCGUAGAUAUACGGAGGAACACCAGUGGCGAAGGCGGAUUGCUGGACAGUAACUGACGCUGAGGCGCGAAAGCGUGGGGAGCAAACAGGAUUAGAUACCCGAGUAGUC
Molecule: ribosomal RNA, 443 nt
Filed under: uncultured bacterium
Lineage: Bacteria
Description: partial 16S ribosomal RNA
Rfam family: Bacterial small subunit ribosomal RNA
Source: RNAcentral